UAGGGAAUCUUCGGCAAUGGACGGAAGUCUGACCGAGCAACGCCGCGUGAGUGAAGAAGGUUUUCGGAUCGUAAAGCUCUGUUGUAAGAGAAGAACGAGUGUGAGAGUGGAAAGUUCACACUGUGACGGUAUCUUACCAGAAAGGGACGGCUAACUACGUGCCAGCAGCCGCGGUAAUACGUAGGUCCCGAGCGUUGUCCGGAUUUAUUGGGCGUAAAGCGAGCGCAGGCGGUUAGAUAAGUCUGAAGUUAAAGGCUGUGGCUUAACCAUAGUAGGCUUUGGAAACUGUUUAACUUGAGUGCAAGAGGGGAGAGUGGAAUUCCAUGUGUAGCGGUGAAAUGCGUAGAUAUAUGGAGGAACACCGGUGGCGAAAGCGGCUCUCUGGCUUGUAACUGACGCUGAGGCUCGAAAGCGUGGGGAGCAAACAGGAUUAGAUACCCUGGUAGUCCACGCUGUAAACGAUGAGUGCUAGGUGUUAGACCCUUUCCGGGAUUUAGUGCCGUAGCUAACGCAUUAAGCACUCCGCCUGGGGAGUACGACCGCAAGGUUG
RNAcentral lists this ribosomal RNA (550 nucleotides) under uncultured bacterium. RNAcentral describes it as "bacterial SSU rRNA". It matches the Rfam family "Bacterial small subunit ribosomal RNA", at positions 355 to 896 of the family's 1533-position model. The record is from RNAcentral.